GACGAACGCUGGCGGCGUGCCUAAUACAUGCAAGUCGAGCGCAGGAAACCGUCUGAACCCUCCGGGGGGACGACGGCGGAAUGAGCGGCGGACGGGUGAGUAACACGUAAAGAACCUGCCCAUAGGUCUGGGAUAACCACGAGAAAUCGGGGCUAAUACCGGAUGUGUCAUCGGACCGCAUGGUCCGCUGAUGAAAGGCGCUCCGGCGUCGCCCAUGGAUGGCUUUGCGGUGCAUUAGCUAGUUGGUGGGGUAACGGCCCACCAAGGCGACGAUGCAUAGCCGACCUGAGCGGGUGAUCGGCCACACUGGGACUGAGACACGGCCCAGACUCCUACGGGAGGCAGCAGUAGGGAAUCUUCCACAAUGGACGAAAGUCUGAUGGAGCAACGCCGCGUGAACGAUGAAGGCUUUCGGGUCGUAAAGUUCUGUUGUAAGGGAAGAACAAGUGCCGCAGGCAAUGGCGGCACCUUGACGGUACCUUGCGAGAAAGCCACGGCUAACUACGUGCCAGCCGCCGCGGUAA
RNAcentral lists this ribosomal RNA (524 nucleotides) under uncultured bacterium. RNAcentral describes it as "partial 16S ribosomal RNA". It matches the Rfam family "Bacterial small subunit ribosomal RNA", at positions 28 to 523 of the family's 1533-position model. The record is from RNAcentral.